RNAcentral lists this ribosomal RNA (393 nucleotides) under uncultured bacterium. RNAcentral's name for it is "bacterial SSU rRNA". It matches the Rfam family "Bacterial small subunit ribosomal RNA", at positions 29 to 452 of the family's 1533-position model. The record is from RNAcentral.
GCGAACGCUGGCGGCAGGCUUAACACAUGCAAGUCGAACGCACCUUCGGGUGAGUGGCAGACGGGUGAGUAACACGUGGGAACGUGCCCUUCGGUUCGGAAUAACUCAGGGAAACUUGAGCUAAUACCGGAUACGCCCUUUGGGGGAAAGGUUUACUGCCGAAGGAUCGGCCCGCGUCUGAUUAGCUAGUUGGUGGGGUAACGGCCUACCAAGGCGACGAUCAGUAGCUGGUCUGAGAGGAUGAUCAGCCACACUGGGACUGAGACACGGCCCAGACUCCUACGGGAGGCAGCAGUGGGGAAUAUUGGACAAUGGGCGAAAGCCUGAUCCAGCCAUGCCGCGUGAGUGAUGAAGGCCUUAGGGUUGUAAAGCUCUUUUAUCCGGGAAGAUAAU